This is a non-coding RNA of Hordeum vulgare subsp. vulgare (domesticated barley), 135 nucleotides long. The record is from Rfam. NCBI's taxonomy places the organism in Eukaryota, Viridiplantae, Streptophyta, Magnoliopsida, Poales, Poaceae.
UGUAUACUCCUUCCGUCCCAAAAUUUUUGUAUCAGAUUUGUUUAGAUAUGAAUGUAUUUAGUUACGUUUUAGUAUUUUGAUACAUCCAUCUCUACACAAACCUAAACAAGAAUUUUGGGACGGAGGGAGUAUGAU